RNAcentral lists this non-coding RNA (86 nucleotides) under unclassified sequences. The record is from RNAcentral.
UUAUUUUUGUCGCCGGAUAAAAAUAAAAAAGCAUCAAAGCAUCUGUCGUAGGCCAUAGAAGAUAGAUGAUUUGGUGCUUUUUUUGA